GACGAACGCUGGCGGCGUGCCUAAUACAUGCAAGUAGAACGCUGAAGGAGGAGCUUGCUUCUCUGGAUGAGUUGCGAACGGGUGAGUAACGCGUAGGUAACCUGCCUGGUAGCGGGGGAUAACUAUUGGAAACGAUAGCUAAUACCGCAUAAGAGUAGAUGUUGCAUGACAUUUGCUUAAAAGGUGCAAUUGCAUCACUACCAGAUGGACCUGCGUUGUAUUAGCUAGUUGGUGAGGUAACGGCUCACCAAGGCGACGAUACAUAGCCGACCUGAGAGGGGGGUCGGCCACCCUGGGACUGAGACACGGCCCAGACUCCUACGGGAGGCAGCAGUAGGGAAUCUUCGGCAAUGGACGGAAGUCUGACCGAGCAACGCCGCGUGAGUGAAGAAGGUUUUCGGAUCGUAAAGCUCUGUUGUAAGAGAAGAACGAGUGUGAGAGUGGAAAGUUCACACUGUGACGGUAUCUUACCAGAAAGAGACGGCUAACUACGUG
Molecule: ribosomal RNA, 495 nt
Filed under: uncultured bacterium
Lineage: Bacteria
Description: partial 16S ribosomal RNA
Rfam family: Bacterial small subunit ribosomal RNA
Source: RNAcentral